CCUACGGGAGGCAGCAGUGAGGAAUAUUGGUCAAUGGGCGCGAGCCUGAACCAGCCAAGUAGCGUGAAGGAUGACUGCCCUACGGGUUGUAAACCUCUUUUAUAAAGGAAUAAAGUGAGGUACGUGUGCCGUUUUGUGUGUACUUUAUGAAUAAGGAUCGGCUAACUACGUGCCAGCAGCCGCGGUAAUACGGAGGAUCCGAGCGUUAUCCGGAUUUAUUGGGUGUAAAGGGAGCGUAGAUGGGUUGUUAAGUCAGUUGUGAAAGUUUGCGGCUCAACCGUAAAACUGCAAUUGAUACUGGCAGUCUUGAGUGCAGUUGAGGUAGGCGGAAUUCGUGGUGUAGCGGUGAAAUGCUUAGAUAUCACGAAGAACUCCGAUUGCGAAGGCAGCUUACUAGACUGCCACUGACAUUGAUGCUCGAAAGUGUGGGUAUCAAACAGGAUUAGAUACCCCAGUAGUC
Molecule: ribosomal RNA, 460 nt
Filed under: uncultured bacterium
Lineage: Bacteria
Description: partial 16S ribosomal RNA
Rfam family: Bacterial small subunit ribosomal RNA
Source: RNAcentral